AAUAAGUGUUGUUUAUAUUUAACGUUUGAUCGUUCGUCUUAUUUAAAUUUUUUUUAUGAUUAGUUUUUUAUUGUUAUUAGAUGACAAAACAUGAAUAAUACUUUAUGUGUGACUAUUUUUUAUUUUUUUAUAUAUUUUUAAAAUAAGACGGACGGUUAAAUGUUGGACAUAGAUACCUACUUCUAUACUUAUU
Non-coding RNA from Oryza glaberrima (African rice), 193 nucleotides. The record is from Rfam. NCBI's taxonomy places the organism in Eukaryota, Viridiplantae, Streptophyta, Magnoliopsida, Poales, Poaceae.